RNAcentral lists this ribosomal RNA (117 nucleotides) under Actinomycetes bacterium. Lineage: Bacteria; Bacillati; Actinomycetota; Actinomycetes. RNAcentral also lists the same sequence under 1 other name. The record is from RNAcentral.
UUCGGUGACCAUAGCGAAGAGGCCCCACCCGUUCCCAUUCCGAACACGGAAGUUAAGCUCUUCAGCGCCGAUGGUACUGCACGGGUGACUGUGUGGGAGAGUAGGUCGUCGCCGAUU